This 680-nucleotide ribosomal RNA is filed under the name uncultured Bacteroidota bacterium. RNAcentral describes it as "bacterial SSU rRNA". It matches the Rfam family "Bacterial small subunit ribosomal RNA", at positions 70 to 747 of the family's 1533-position model. The record is from RNAcentral. Lineage: Bacteria; Pseudomonadati; Bacteroidota.
AACAGGUGUAGCAAUACAUGCUGACGAGUGGCGCACGGGUGCGUAACACGUAUGUAACCUACCUCUAACUGGGGAAUAGCUUCGAGAAAUCGAAAUUAAUACCCCAUAGUAAUAAGAUCAGGCAUCUGGUUUUAUUUAAAGAAUUUCGGUUAGAGAUGGACAUGCGUCCUAUUAGCUUGUUGGUGAGGUAACGGCUCACCAAGGCUACGAUAGGUAGGGGGCCUGAGAGGGUUCUCCCCCACACUGGAACUGAGACACGGUCCAGACUCCUACGGGAGGCAGCAGUGAGGAAUAUUGGUCAAUGGUCGCAAGACUGAACCAGCCAUGCCGCGUGCAGGAUGAAGGCGCUAUGCGUUGUAAACUGCUUUUCUCUGGGAAUAAACCUCUUUACGUGUAAAGAGCUGAAGGUACCAGAGGAAUAAGCACCGGCUAACUCCGUGCCAGCAGCCGCGGUAAUACGGAGGGUGCAAGCGUUAUCCGGAUUUAUUGGGUUUAAAGGGCGCGCAGGCGGGGCUUUAAGUCAGUGGUGAAAUCUCUUCGCUUAACGAAGAAACUGCCAUUGAUACUGAAGUUCUUGAAUCUAGUUGACGUUAGUGGAAUGUGUCAUGUAGCGGUGAAAUGCUUAGAUAUGACACAGAACACCGAUCGCGAAGGCAGCUAACGAAGCUAGUAUUGACGCU